This 252-nucleotide ribosomal RNA is filed under the name Escherichia coli. RNAcentral's name for it is "partial 23S ribosomal RNA". It matches the Rfam family "Bacterial large subunit ribosomal RNA", at positions 2696 to 2925 of the family's 2925-position model. Lineage: Bacteria; Pseudomonadati; Pseudomonadota; Gammaproteobacteria; Enterobacterales; Enterobacteriaceae. The record is from RNAcentral.
AGUGGACGCAUCACUGGUGUUCGGGUUGUCAUGCCAAUGGCACUGCCCGGUAGCUAAAUGCGGAAGAGAUAAGUGCUGAAAGCAUCUAAGCACGAAACUUGCCCCGAGAUGAGUUCUCCCUGASWCYUWGAGWSUCCUGAAGGAACGUUGAAGACGACGACGUUGAUAGGCCGGGUGUGUAAGCGCAGCGAUGCGUUGAGCUAACCGGUACUAAUGAACCGUGAGGCUUAACCUUACAACGCCGAAGMUGUU